Molecule: transfer RNA, 76 nt
Filed under: Betaproteobacteria bacterium
Lineage: Bacteria; Pseudomonadati; Pseudomonadota; Betaproteobacteria
Description: tRNA-Thr
Rfam family: tRNA
About the family: Transfer RNA (tRNA) molecules are approximately 80 nucleotides in length. Their secondary structure includes four short double-helical elements and three loops (D, anti-codon, and T loops).
Source: RNAcentral
GCCGACUUAGCUCAGUUGGUAGAGCAAUCGCCUUGUAAGCGAUAGGUCAUCUGUUCGAGUCAGAUAGUCGGCACCC